Molecule: transfer RNA, 72 nt
Filed under: Marmota marmota marmota (Alpine marmot)
Lineage: Eukaryota; Metazoa; Chordata; Mammalia; Rodentia; Sciuridae
Also listed under: 1 other name
Rfam family: tRNA
About the family: Transfer RNA (tRNA) molecules are approximately 80 nucleotides in length.
Source: Rfam by way of RNAcentral
GAGUUUACAGCUCAGUGGUAGAGCACUUGCCUAGCAUGCAUAAGGCCCUGGGUUCAAUCCCCAGCAUAUUUA